UACGAAGGGUGCAAGCGUUACUCGGAAUUACUGGGCGUAAAGCGUGCGCAGGCGGCUCAUCAAGUCAGAGGUGAAAGCCCAGGGCUCAACCCUGGAACUGCCUUUGAAACUGUUGGGCUUGAGUACGGGAGAGGUGAGUGGAAUUCCGAGUGUAGAGGUGAAAUGCGUAGAUAUUCGGAAGAACACCAGUGGCGAAGGCGGCUCACUGGACCAUAACUGACGCUGAUGCACGAUAGCGUGGGGAGCAAACAGG
RNAcentral lists this ribosomal RNA (253 nucleotides) under uncultured bacterium. Its description in RNAcentral is "partial 16S ribosomal RNA". It matches the Rfam family "Bacterial small subunit ribosomal RNA", at positions 524 to 776 of the family's 1533-position model. The record is from RNAcentral.